Lycium barbarum (goji berry) is the source of this 3636-nucleotide long non-coding RNA. RefSeq lists it as uncharacterized. Lineage: Eukaryota; Viridiplantae; Streptophyta; Magnoliopsida; Solanales; Solanaceae. The record is from RefSeq and is a predicted model, not a curated record. The transcript has 2 exons.
GCGACCUAACGUCUUGUUUUUUUCUUCUAUAAAUAUAAAAUGCCCUUCAAGAAACUGUAACACACAAUAAAUUAAAUCCUAUGGAGGCAUGGAUACAUUCUUCAGCUUCUUCAAAGUUCAAACACUUAGUUUAACAAGGGUGAGUGAUUUCCAUGCUAUGCUUGUCAAAUGAGCAGUCCUUUUUGCUGUUAACCUUUGUCUCAUUGUCUGUUCGACCUUGAAAUUAUUAGCAAGAUUCAUCAUCUAUUUACAAACCCUAGCUAGCUUAUUAGAUUAUUACUCCCUCUAAUUCAAUUUAUUUAGCGUAGUUUGACUAGUCGCAGAAUCUAAGAAAAAAGUAAAUCUUUUAGAACUUGCACUUAUCAUAAUACUUAGUACUAUUGGUUUUAGAAAAAUCACGCUCUAUGUCUACUGGGAGAAAAUAUUGGCUACCCGGUUUAUCUUAUAUUUGUGUAUAAACACCUUUUAUAUGCUAUUAUACACUUUUAUACAAGGUUGAUAUGUUAUGUAUAAUGCUUUCCCUAGGUGUAAUCUUGUAAAAUAUAAUAUAAUGUUGUACAAUAUUGUAUAAACUGAAAAUAUGGCUACAUGGCGUAAUAUUUAUGUUGGGCUAUAUGUAUUUGAAAAUUGAUUAUGAUGCCCAAGCCCACUUACGCGCACCUGGACUAUAAUUCCAAGAGAUAUCUGCUACCUUCCACCAGCACAAAUACCGGGUAACUCAAUUCAACUUUGCCUGGUAGAUGGAAGAAAUCACCGUGUGCUUUUUCUUUCACUGGGGUUUGGACCUGAAACCUCAUGUUCUCAAUACAUAUGUCAUGAUAUUUGAGUAUAAGAAUUUGUCAUUAAAAUAAAAGAAUUUUUUCAAAUUAAAUUGUUUUCAAAAUAUAAAAAUGUGAACUACUUAAUAACGAACUGCGUUCUCAAGGGGGUCCCUCCCUACCUUCCACGUAUGACACCUAUUCCUAUUCCGAUAUAGGAGACGAACCCUAAAAGGGAGUUAGGUAUGUAUCUUUAACUUUCUUCACUUUAGUUUGGAUUUCAAGUUGUAGCCAAAAAGUUGUAAAUCUAUGAACACAAGCAUUGAUCAGAGUCGAGUAAUAGGUGUAAGUAGUGUGUGCACCUAUUAAUGUUGACAUGCUACUAAAUUUUGAGGAGGGAUAAUGAAAUGAGUCCAUUCUUUUUCCUAUGCUAGCUUAUUUAUGAACUAAUAAUCCUACCCUAACAAGAAACUGAACCAAUCAAUGAGACCAUUAUUAGCACAAAAAUAACACAAGUAAUAGGAAAGUCGUUGUAAUUUUAAAAGCACCUUCACUUGAUAAACGAUAUAAUAAAGAUGUAGUUACGGUACAAGCUAGCUCCUAGAAGUGUGUGUGUAUGACUCAUGAGUUAGCUGUAAGGAAAAAGAAUCAUCAGAUUUCAUGCAUGUGGUCUUGUAACCUUAUGGUUUAUAUAAGGGAAAAUGACCUAAUAAUACCUAUUUAAGACUCUAUAUAAAGAAUCUUAGAAUCACCUUCCUCCCACCAACCUUUUUAGCGCCCUCUUGUUUAGCUGGCCUGUCUUAUUUACAAGUAAUUAAUAUUAAUGUUUGCUGAUGAUUACCUGUAAUUAUUAUUUAAGUAAUUAACCUGAUAGUAUAAAAUCCGUUUGCACCGUUAGUAUAUAUUUUACAAAGAAAAUUAAACAGAAAUAGGAAUUAUUAGAAAAUAGUAGUACUCCUAGUUGAUGUUUUUCUUUAAGGUCGACCAGACAAUGAAUCUAAGGUAAAAAAUGAGCAAAGAGACUGCUAAUUUGUCAAGGUUUGCACUGAAAUCAACAGCAAUGCUCAAAGCUCACAAUUACCAGAAACAUAUGGAAGUUGGAAUUUACAGUUGGCCCUGCAAUGACUCCAUCAACAAAAACAAGUUUUUCAUCUAUCUCUUUCUCUCCAUCGAAAUAUUUUUACCAGUUGUAGCAGGUAUUUGUCGAAUUCUCUAGUUACUAAACUUUUUUCACUUAUUUAUGAAUAAUUAUCUGUAGUUAUUUUUAAUGUGACAUGUCAGUGUAGAGAUCCAGACAUUCAGUGUAGCGAAUUGAACUCAUAUAUCUCCAGUCUUCUGGACAUUCUUUAUGUACGUGGGACAUAUUAAAUGAUCAAAACAUUGACAUGAAUUAUAUUGCAGAUAAUUAAGAAGCAACUCAUGAUUUAAGAAAGUACUUACUAGUAAUUGGUUUGUUUUUGUGUGAUUUAAGGUUCGGUAAAUUGACACUUGGAAUGUCGAAUGACUACACUGCCGGUUAGGUUCCUCCCUCAUUCCACAGUUAUUUUGGUGAGCUUCACUUCAUGUUCGUGGUGACAAAUUGUAGUAUCAUUCUUUUAAAUAGGUAUAGUCAUUGGGUUCUUUGUUGAGUUGAACAAUCUUUCUUUAAAAAAAAAAAAAAAGGCAUAGUCGGAACCAUGUCACCGGUAUGCUUUAUUCAUGAUGUCAUAGCGACGACUCCAUAGACGUUGUGGGUCUAGUAUAUGUCCUUUUGUGAUUACAUUGAAGUCUCAAUGCAAUAUAUAUAUUUUUUAAUUAUAAGCCAUCACCCAGGAGGGGGUCCUGUGGUAUUCGGGGUUUUGGUUUGACCCCUACUACGUAUAUAGAAGGUAAAAAUGACAAAAGAAAGGGCGCAUGUACCUGAACAAGACUGGAAAUCUCAUUAUAGCCUUUUGUAAAUACUAUGGCACCCAUACCAAUAUCUAUGCUGAAGCCAGAGCUCGGCUUUCUGGGAUUAAUUGAUGUAUCCAAUAUCAAUUUCUAAAUGUGCAAAUUGAGUCAGACUCUAUGUUGAUUGUCAACAUGGUUAAGGGACACUUGAGUACAGGGAUCUUUAUGAUAUUAUAAAAAAACAUUAGAUGUUUGAUGGAACGAGGAAAUUUCGUCAUUAACCAUUUUUACAGGGAAGCUAACAAGGUAGCUGAUAAUUUGGCCAACAUGGGAGUUACCACGAUGCAGAACUCAGUCUUCAAUACAACAGUCUCCUUGCCAAGGCAUGUUAGUGCUACAUUGAAGAUGGAUAAGCUAAACAUACCUGCAUUCGGAAUGCGACCAAAAAAGUGCAGCUUCAACUUUGAUGGUGGAUAGCCUCGUGCUUGACUUUCUAAAGGAGUCCUUCCUAGUUUAUUUCCUCAGACUGUAUAGUCUGCUCUUUUAUUUCCUUGUUUACGGAGUAGUAUCAGUAACAAAGGACUCCCUAGCAUAUAUGGAGAAUUUGUCAUCUCCUACAUAGGAAGGAGAGAUCAGGUCCUAAUUAAAGUCCCAGUCUCCCAUGCAACAAGUUUUUGCCGACUUCAUCAAUAUACGGGUAGGGGUCUUGCCAAACACCCCCCCUCCCCACCUUCACCCCAAGGAGAAUUUUGGUUGGGGGGGGGGGGGGGGGAAGUUGAGAUUCAAGCUCUAGCCAAAUUUUGGUGUGGCCCUGUUGGACACCACUCAAGACCAAAUUUCCAAAUUUAACAAUUGUAGCCUUUACUUCCAUAUAUGAAUAACUAUUUUGAUUAUUUACGCCUUUUAGUGUUACAUAUGUGAGAGAGGAUAUUAGAAUCUUUCUUGUAUAAUGAAAUCAUACGUAUAUCGGUUGUAAAUUUUUUCGAGGCCAUUGGAGAACUUUUGUUGA